Magnolia sinica is the source of this 3096-nucleotide RNA transcript. It is a transcript of the gene named protein transport protein SEC23 E-like, with no coding region annotated. Lineage: Eukaryota; Viridiplantae; Streptophyta; Magnoliopsida; Magnoliales; Magnoliaceae. The record is from RefSeq and is a predicted model, not a curated record. The transcript has 13 exons.
CAGUCCGCGUCGAAGAAGGAAAGGUAAAAAAAAAAAAAAACCCGUUUCUCCCACCAAAGAAACCUCAGAUCUCUACCGCCACCACCCCCCAAAAAAGCGAAAUUUACAUCCCAUAACCCUUCUUCCUUCCCCAAAUCAGCCCCUCUCUCUCUCUCUCUCUCUCUCUCUCUCAAAACAGAGAAACCCCAACAUCUACAGACCUAAGAAGAAGGAGAAGGAGAAUGUCCGAGAUGGGCCCAUCGUCCGACGUGGACGGCAUCGACGCCGUCCGCAUGACCUGGAACGUGUGGCCCCGAUCGAAGGUGGACGCCAGCAAGUGCGUGGUCCCGGUAGCAGCGUCCAUCUCCCCGAUCCGGCACUCCCCAGACGUCCCCAUCCUCCCUUACCUCCCCCUCCACUGCAAGUCCUGCGCGUCUACCUUAAAUCCGUACUCCCGCGUCGACUUCUCCGCCAAGAUCUGGAUCUGCCCUUUCUGCUUCCAGCGCAAUCACUUCCCUCCCCACUACUCCAUGAUCAGCGAGUCGAACGUCCCCGCCGAACUCUACCCCCAGUACACCACCGUUGAGUACUCUGUGGGCCCCACCGACCCCGCUGCCGCUGCAUCGCCGCCGCAGCCGGUGUUCCUCUUCGUCCUUGAUAUCUGCGUCAUUGAGGAAGAGCUCGAAUUCGUCAAGUCCGCGCUUCGGCAGGCCAUCGGGCUGCUCCCGGACAACGCAAUGGUGGGGUUUAUGUCAUUCGGCACGCAGGUGCAUGUCAACGAGCUGGGGUUUGCGGAUCUGUCGAAGGUUUAUGUUUUCAGGGGGACGAAGGAGAUCACCAAAGAGCAGGUCCUGGAUCAGUUGGGGCUGGCAGUGGGGGCGCAUAGGGGAGCGGGGUAUCCGAAGGGAGUACAGAAUGGAGUAGUCCCUGGGACCAUUAGUAGGUUUCUGCUGCCGGCAUCAGAAUGCGAAUACACCCUCAAUUUUUUAUUGGAUGAGUUGCAGAUAGAUCAGUGGCCACUGGAACCUGGCAACCGGCAAUUGCGGUGCACGGGUGUUGCUUUGAGUGUAGCAGCUGGUCUUCUUGGAGCAUGCUUGCCGGGUACUGGGGCCCGGAUUAUAGCUUUAGUGGGUGGUCCAUGUACAGAAGGCCCAGGAAUGAUUGUGUCAAAAGAUUUGUCAGAGCCAGUACGGUCCCAUAAAGACCUUGAUAAGGAUGGCGCACCUCAUUUUAACAAAGCUCUCAAAUUUUAUGAAAAUCUUGCCAAGCAGCUGGUUAGCGAGGGCCACGUCUUAGACGUUUUUGCAUCUGCACUUGAUCAGGUUGGGGUUGCAGAGAUGAAAGUUGCUGUUGAAAGGACAGGUGGGCUUGUUGUCCUUGCUGAAAGUUUUGGUCAUUCUGUGUUUAAAGACUCUUUCAAGCGGAUAUUCAAAGAUGGUGAACAGUCUCUUGGGCUUUCCUUCAAUGGCACACUUGAGAUAAUCUGUUCCAAGGAUAUCAAGAUUCAGGGAAUAAUUGGACCAUGCACAUCUUUGGAGAAGAAAGGACCUUCUUGCUCCGAUACAGUAAUAGGGCAGGGAAAUACAACAUCAUGGAAGAUGUGUGGCCUUGACAAGAGUACUUGUUUGACGGUCUUCUUUGACAUUUCACCCAGCGAACGGUCAACCCCACCAGGGACUGCAAAUCAACAACUGUACUUACAGUUUGUAACAAAUUAUCAGAAUCCUGAAGGCCAAAUGAGGAUCCGGGUUACAACUGUUGCAAGAAGAUGGGCAGAGACUUCAGCCAACUCAGAGGAAUUAGUAGAAGGAUUUGAUCAGGAAACUGCUGCUGUUGUAAUGGCAAGAUUAACCUCACUGAAAAUGGAGAUGGAGGAAGAGUUUGAUGCAACAAGAUGGUUGGAUCGAUCCCUCAUUCGUCUCUGUUCCAGAUUCGGUGAUUAUCGAAAAGAUAAUCCAUCUACGUUUACAUUAAACCCAAGUUUCUCAUUAUUCCCGCAAUUUAUGUUCAAUCUAAGGCGUUCACAAUUCGUACAGGUUUUUAACAACAGUCCUGAUGAGACGGCUUAUUUCCGCAUGCUAUUAAACCGAGAGAACAUCACCAAUUCUCUUGUCAUGAUUCAGCCUUCACUCAUUUCAUAUUCUUUUAAUUCGCCUCCUUCGCCGGCAUUGCUAGAUGUAGCUUCUAUUGCAGCAGACCGCAUACUAUUGCUAGAUGCAUAUUUUAGCAUAGUUAUUUUUCAUGGAACGACAAUUGCUCAGUGGCGCAACAUGGGUUACCAGAAUCAGUCCAUACAUCAAGCCUUUGCACAGCUAUUGCAAGCUCCUCAUGAAGAUGCUCAGAUUAUCAUCAAUGAUCGAUUCCCUGUCCCCAGACUGGUUGUGUGCGAUCAGCAUGGCUCCCAGGCAAGAUUUCUGUUGGCAAAACUAAACCCAUCCGCUACAUAUAACUCAGCCCACGAGAUAGCUGCUGGCUCAGAUGUGAUCUUUACAGACGAUGUGAGCCUGCAAGUGUUCUUUGAGCAUCUCCAAAGGCUAGCGGUGCAGUCCUGAGACCGUAGACUGAGUUCAGUACUUUCCCAGUUACCAAUUUCUCGGUGGGUGUUCCUAGUUAGGCAAACCCCCCGAGCUUCACUGAAGUUAUGAUGCGUAAAGCUCCCAAGUCAAGCUCUAUGGCGGGACCCACCGUGGAUAGGCUAUGCAAGCUCUAUGGCGGGACCCACCGUGGAUAGGCUAUGGUGCGGAAGUGACAGACAGAUCAUGAACCUUUUUGCCCAUUGAAAGCUGAUGAGUUUUUAAAUUGCCCGUUUGAAGUCCAAUUGGACGGUUAGGAUCUAACCUGUGGUGUCCUUUUUUUUUGGGCAUGUCUAUUCCUUCAUGAAAGGUACAUGAUGAGUGAUAUGUUUCUAUAUUUUGGAGAUUUGGGCACGUAAUGUAUUUUCUCACUGAACAUUUUAUGAGAAACCAGAUACCUUGCAAAAACUGAAGAUGGUCGGCCCGUACCUAAAUUUAAUUUAGAUAUCAUGUAACGUCCACAGGCCAUUGGGACCAAAUAUAUUAUUGGGAGGAGAUUUUGAAUUUGAAAAUGAAAGAGAGUGCUACCGUGGGUGUUUAUUGA